GACGGGUGAGUAACGCGUGGGUAAUCUGCCCUAAAGUGGGGGAUAACAGUUGGAAACGACUGCUAAUACCGCAUAUGCUGACGAGAUCUCAUGGUCAUGUCAGCAAAGGUGGCCUCUGAAUAUGCUACCGCUUAAGGAUGAGCCCGCGUCUGAUUAGCUAGUAGGUGGGGUAACGGCCUACCUAGGCAACGAUCAGUAGCCGGCCUGAGAGGGUGUACGGCCACACUGGAACUGAGACACGGUCCAGACUCCUACGGGAGGCAGCAGUGGGAAUAUUGCGCAAUGGGGGAAACCCUGACGCAGCGACGCCGCGUGAGCGAUGAAGGCUUUCGGGUUGUAAAGCUCUGUUCUAAGGGACGAAUUGCUUUGAUGUGAAUAAUGUCAGAGAGUGACGGUACCUUAGGAGAAAGCCCCGGCUAACUACGUGCCAGCAGCCGCGGUAAUACGUAGGGGGCAAGCGUUGUCCGGAAUUACUGGGCGUAAAGAGCGUGUAGGCGGGCAUUUAAGUCAGGUGUGAAAGACCGGGGCUCAACUCCGGGAUUGCAUUUGAAACUGGAUAUCUUGAGGGCAGGAGAGGAAAGCGGAAUUCCUGGUGUAGCGGUGAAAUGCGUAGAUAUCAGGAGGAACACCGGUGGCGAAGGCGGCUUUCUGGACUGUCCCUGACGCUGAGACGCGAAAGCGUGGGGAGCAAACAGGAUUAGAUACCCUGGUAGUCCACGCCGUAAACGAUGGGCACUAGGUGUAGGAGGUAUCGACCCCUUCUGUGCCGCAGCUAACGCAAUAAGUGCCCCGCCUGGGGAGUACGGUCGCAAGGCUGAAACUCAAGGAAUUGACGGGGCCCGCACAA
RNAcentral lists this ribosomal RNA (847 nucleotides) under uncultured bacterium. RNAcentral's name for it is "bacterial SSU rRNA". It matches the Rfam family "Bacterial small subunit ribosomal RNA", at positions 100 to 928 of the family's 1533-position model. The record is from RNAcentral.